GGCUCCGCGAGUCCCAGGCGGGCAGCAGCUGCUGCAGUGCGGGUCCACCGCGGCCUUUGGCGGCCCUGGCUCCCGCCCGGGUGCUCCAUAUUCGGCCCUCCUCUGGGGGUCCUGCCGGAGUCGGCGGGAGCGGACCGGGUGCGGGGGCCACCGUCCCAUCCAGCCCUGGCGCAGGGUCCUAGCCCAGCGACCUCCAGGGCAGCCGGGCCCGCGCGUGAUCAGGGCCCUCGCGGCGGGAUGCGCGGUCGCACACGCUGUCCCCGGCGGCCUAUUUAUAGCUGGUGGCACUGCCCGAAGCUCGCUCGGCCUGGGAGGCCCUCAGCAGGUGGUACUGCCAGCCUGCUCUCCGCGCUCCCGCAGGAACCUCGCCUCAGCUGCACCCUCGCCUUCUGCCUCCGACAGCGACACGGUGGGAACUGCCCACCUGGCUGUCACCUCCCUCCUGUCUAGGGGGCGAAACUGUGCACGGUCGUGCGAGGCGCUGGCGCACGCUCGGCAGGAAAAUCAGAGCCUGAGGCUCUUACCUGGAAAACUGAAGGGAUGCACAGUGUGGAGGUUCACUGUGGGGAUGAGAGAGAUGUGCGCCGCGGAUGUGAAGGGCCACAAGGAGAGGCCCAGCUACAGCCGCUGCGGCUCAGGAGGCUUCUGGAAUUGCUACGGUACCGUCCCCUGCCCGGGAAUAGGGCUCCCUGAAGCCACUGAGGCUCUUAGAGCCCUUUUAUUUGGGACAUUUUUUUGUGGGAUUCCCUUUGGAUGCCUAUAUCCUGGGAGGUAUGUUUUAAGUGGGACACAGAAAUUUUACCCCCAGUGUGAUUUAGCACUCUGAUAAUAGCUAAAGCUUUAUUCAUAGAGGGCUUAGCCCGUGUGGGGCCUUGUGCUAAAUACUCUACGUGUAUUGUCUCUAAUCCUCCCCAAAGCGCAGCAAAGAUGAUUGAAUCCAUUGGACCCACGAGGAAACAGCAGUUAGUGCAUGUUGGAAGCUGCAGGACUACUCAGUCCUUAGAGGUCUGAGAUCCAAAACCCUGCACAACACUCCCCCCGCCUCCAUCUCCGGCCCCUGCCUUGCUGCCUUGUAGGCCUUAACCCAUUCUUUGUUACAGCACAGCUAUGUGUUUCACCCAAAAUCUUUGUAAUAAAGGAGUGAGGAAUGUGUUCA
This 1156-nucleotide long non-coding RNA is filed under the name Oryctolagus cuniculus (rabbit). RNAcentral's name for it is "lncRNA (ENSOCUG00000037948.1)". Lineage: Eukaryota; Metazoa; Chordata; Mammalia; Lagomorpha; Leporidae. The record is from RNAcentral.